This 253-nucleotide ribosomal RNA is filed under the name uncultured bacterium. Its description in RNAcentral is "partial 16S ribosomal RNA". It matches the Rfam family "Bacterial small subunit ribosomal RNA", at positions 524 to 776 of the family's 1533-position model. The record is from RNAcentral.
UACGUAGGGUGCGAGCGUUAAUCGGAAUUACUGGGCGUAAAGCGUGCGCAGGCGGUUUUGUAAGCCAGAUGUGAAAGCCCCGGGCUUAACCUGGGAAUGGCAUUUGGGACUGCAAGGCUUGAGUGCGGCAGAGGAGACUGGAAUUCCCGGUGUAGCAGUGAAAUGCGUAGAUAUCGGGAGGAAUACCGAUGGCGAAGGCAGGUCUCUGGGCCGAUACUGACGCUGAGGAGCGAAAGCAUGGGUAGCGAACAGG